Molecule: long non-coding RNA, 1996 nt
Filed under: Olea europaea subsp. europaea
Lineage: Eukaryota; Viridiplantae; Streptophyta; Magnoliopsida; Lamiales; Oleaceae
Source: RNAcentral
ACACCCAUAUCCACCUGUAAAGGUAGACGCAAGAGCCCCACUGCUCAAUAAAAUGCGAACACAAUCAUGUCGCCUUUGACGACCUACCAAAUGCAGUGCGGUUGCACCGCUUCCAUCCCUUAUGUUAACAAAUCUCGAAAGUCACUUGACCUCUCGUUUGAGCACAAGAAUUAGUACUUCAUUUUUAAUAGACAAGCAUUGGGGUCAUAAAUUUAGAUAAGACAGCACAUGGAAGAAAUAGUCACCAAGAUUGCACAAUUGGAGUGGAAUGAGUAGCAGAAAGAAUCUACUGUAGGCAAUCUGAAUGACCAUAGUAGGCUGCAUGGAGAAUACAUAUGUAUGGUGUGUGACCUGAGAGAAGGACUAGAGCUCAAUGUGAGAAUGAGAGACCUGUGCUGCAUGGAGAAUGUCCCCAUGUAGCAUUAACUCCAUGCUACAUGGAGCAACUGACACGACCUGUCCCGACUCAACCUAAUUAACUCGAUAUGUGUCGUGCGACGAUGGUAGAUGCCAGCUAAAUGUCGGACCCACCACCAAGGCAAACUUGACCUAUUUGACUGUACUAUAAUUUUAUGAAAAUUUUAACAGAGUUUCCCCUUAAAAAUGGACAAAACCAACCUGAAAAUGAUCAAAACCUCAAAUAGACAUUCAAACCAAAAGUUUUGGAAACCACCACUUCCACUAAUACCACCACAACUAAAACAAAAUAUAACAAAAUUUGACUGAGUGCUUCUACAACAUCAUGUCUACAUGCAAGCAUUACAUUAAUUACAAAUCCUUCUACAAAGUGCAUGACACUCCAAAUAUUAGACAAAGUACUUAAUAAACAUGAGUCCCCCAACAAUUCAUUACAUACUAUGAAACGGUCUCUUUUGUUUCAGUAGACUUUUCCAAGUAUCUCAAAAUUAACGGUCUCCUGAUAGGAAAAACAUGACAAAAAUAUGAAUUCGUAACUCAGUGAGUGGAUGAUUUGCAAUUAAGUAAACUUUUUCCAUUUAUGCAUAUUUUCUAAAAAUGUUAACUUUAUUAAAUCCUUGAGAAUUUCUGAAUAUUGUAAUACUUUUAAAAACUAUAACAUGAUUACAUUAUAAAAUUCUUUGUUCUAAAUUCUAGAUAAGUAUCUGUAAGGUAUAACAAAUAUAAGAAAUUUGAUAUUCAUGAAAAUCUAUGAAAUAUUGCUGCUGCUCAAUACUAUAAGCUGAAAGCUUUAUUUUGAAAACUGAAUUAACUGAAUUUCAUAAUUUGAAAUCUGAGAACUGAAUAAAUACUGAAAAAUCACACCACAAAGAGUAUCCAAUGAAUAGCCUUACUCAUGUACAGAGUAAUCUCGAUGUACAAGGCAAAGCCAUUCAAAUCUGAUAAUCUGGUCAUACGUACGCAGAGCUGCUCCAAAGGCUAAUCACCCUAAUACACGGUCCAAAGCCUAUGUGUGUACGAGAGUGGGUCCCAAAGACCUCCGAUAAUUUGGUCAUACAUUAUGGAAACACAUUCACGAUAGUGCAGAGCGGGUAAAAUCACUAUAACUAGUCAUACACUGCGAAAACACAUUCACAUCAGUGCAAAUUGGGGUAAAAUCACCUGGGUACUUUCUGGUGGUUUUUAGAAAUAACUUUAACUAUACUGAAACAUGGAAUAAGAAUAUAACAUGCUACUAAAAUAAUUUAACUGAACUGAAUUUAACUUUAAAAAAAAUUGAUAAUAAAAUCCAUUUUAUUCUGAAAAUCAUGCUAUGAAGUCAACUUUAUAAAAUAAAUAACUUUAAAAUUUAAAGAAGACUUAUUUUUGAAAAAUAAGUUUUAUCCACUCACAAGGUAGGAGCUACAAGCUAAAUUGCUUGAUAAACGUUUCCAAUUUCUUUGUCACCACCUGAAAUACGAUAUUAAUAACUAAUUUAUCCUCUAUCUAAUCAAGAAACCUUAAUAUCUAAUGAUAGAACUUAAUUUAAAUUCUCUUGACACUUGAGUAAAUUCUCAAAUUUUCUUUUGAUCAAUUGGAG